RNAcentral lists this unclassified non-coding RNA (342 nucleotides) under soil metagenome. RNAcentral describes it as "partial contains 5.8S ribosomal RNA, internal transcribed spacer 2, and large subunit ribosomal RNA". The stretch from base 1 to 121 matches the Rfam family "5.8S ribosomal RNA", at positions 35 to 154 of the family's 154-position model. The record is from RNAcentral.
GAUGAAGAACGCAGCGAAAUGCGAUAAGUAAUGCGAAUUGCAGAAUUUCCGUGAGUCAUCGAAUCUUUGAACGCACAUUGCGCCCACUGGUAUUCUGGCGGGCAUGCCUGUCCGAGCGUCAUUUCAACCCUCAAGCCCCCGGGCUUGGUGUUGGGGAUCGGCGAGCCUCCGCGCCCGCCGUCCCCUAAAUCUAGUGGCGGUCUCGCUGUAGCUUCCUCUGCGUAGUAGCACACCUCGCACUGGGAAACAGCGCGGCCACGCCGUUAAACCCCCAACUUCUGAACGUUUGACCUCGGAUCAGGUAGGAAUACCCGCUGAACUUAAGCAUAUAAUAAGCGAGGA